This 407-nucleotide ribosomal RNA is filed under the name uncultured bacterium. Its description in RNAcentral is "partial 16S ribosomal RNA". It matches the Rfam family "Bacterial small subunit ribosomal RNA", at positions 28 to 526 of the family's 1533-position model. The record is from RNAcentral.
GACGAACGCUGGCGGCGUGCUUAACACAUGCAAGUCGAACGAAGUGGAGCACGGGUGAGUAACGCGGAAUCAACCUGCCCUUCAGCGGGGGAUAACCGUCGGAAACGACUGCUAAUACCGCAUAAUGUAGGUGGGGAUUGCGUCUGAUUGGCUAGUGGGUAAGGUACUGGCUUACCUAGGCGACGAUCCCUAGCGGGUCUGAGGGGAUGAUCGGCCACACUGGGACUGAGACACGGCCCAGACUCCUACGGGAGGCAGCAGUUGGGAAUAUUGCACAGUGGGCGCAAGCCUGAGGCAGCCAUGCCGCGUGUGUGAAGAAGGCCCUAGGGUUGUAAAGUGCUUUCAGUCGGGAGCGUUACCGACAGAAGAAGCACCGGCUAACUCCGUGCCAGCAGCCGCGGUAAUAC